CUGCUGGAUCUCCUUCUCCCCUCUGUCUCUCCACCCCCCUCCGUCCCUCCCCUGAGAUCUCUCGUCGGAUCUCCGGGUGUCUCCCCGUUCGGGGUCUCUCCGGCCGUCUGUCCCUCGCCGAGGCUCCGUCUCUCUGGGCUACUGCGCGACCGGGCUCCUGGAGGAGCUUCGAGGCUGCUUCCAGCCGCUCAGAAUGUCAUCCCAACUCCGGGCCGCAUCGCCAGCAUUUUUGAUCCGAGAAUGGGGAGGAAUCUGGAUUAGAAGACCCUACUUAGAGAAGUUUGGAGAGCCUGAAUUAGAAGACCUGCUUUGAGAAGGCAGAACUACAGGGCGGCCGAGUGAUCGGAGCGGGGAGGGAAAUUCAGCACCAAAGGGCUGUCCGCUAGGCAGACCCGGUGCCCCGGAAGAUGCCCGUGGUGUCCUGUUGAUGGCGGACUCUGGACAACUGCCCAUUUUCCCAGUGUUCAUAGCAUCCAAGGGGGAAGGGCGAUGGAAUGUUUCAUGACCCUGCUGAGGAGUCACUACACGCAAAUAGCAACUGCAGAAUGAAACCCCUUAUUAGACUCCCGAAGCUGCUGUCGCUGGGUUCGAAUCGAAACGUUGGCAGUGACUGUGAAAGAUGAAUACAACGCAACCACCUGUGGAAAGAUAGCCAUCUGACAGGAAAAGAUAACACUGAAGAGCAAUGGAAGACUUGAGGUCUCCCAGUUUUGUCCUUCAAAAGUGUCCAAGAGCACACUUCAACCCACCUAUGAGAAAUGAUUCUCCUGCGUUUGUUAGAUGAAAAACACUUCUGCUUUUUCCUUUGACGUGAGGAACUUUAUUUUAAGUCUCCAAACCACUGCUAAGGAGCAGAAACAGAGUCCUGCACUGAACUGGCCCCCUGAGGUUGUGAAUGAAGAAUCCAUCUCGAUGCUUCAUUCUUUAACGUUUAAUCAUGCGAUCACCCAUCAUGACAUUGUUCCUUGCAGCCUAACAAUGCUUCCAUUAUAGACUCAGAUCUGUGAGACACUGUAACAGCUAUACAUAUGUGUGAUACUGUGAUACCCAGAUUACAGGAGUAGGAAAUGAA
This is a long non-coding RNA of Ornithorhynchus anatinus (platypus), 1072 nucleotides long. RefSeq lists it as uncharacterized. Lineage: Eukaryota; Metazoa; Chordata; Mammalia; Monotremata; Ornithorhynchidae. The transcript has 3 exons. The record is from RefSeq and is a predicted model, not a curated record.